CGCAGUAACGAUGUCGACUUGGAGGGUGUGCCCGUGAGGCGUGGCUUCUGGAGCUAACGCGUUAAGUCGACCGCCUGGGGAGUACGGCCGCAAGGUUAAAACUCAAAUGAAUUGACGGGGGCCCGCACAAGCGGUGGAGCAUGUGGUUUAAUUCGAUGCAACGCGAAGAACCUUACCUACUCUUGACAUCCAGAGAACUUUCCAGAGAUGGAUUGGUGCCUUCGGGAACUCUGAGACAGGUGCUGCAUGGCUGUCGUCAGCUCGUGUUGUGAAAUGUUGGGUUAAGUCCCGCAACGAGCGCAACCCUUAUCCUUUGUUGCCAGCGGUUCGGCCGGGAACUCAAAGGAGACUGCCAGUGAUAAACUGGAGGAAGGUGGGGAUGACGUCAAGUCAUCAUGGCCCUUACGAGUAGGGCUACACACGUGCUACAAUGGCGCAUACAAAGAGAAGCGACCUCGCGAGAGCAAGCGGACCUCAUAAAGUGCGUCGUAGUCCGGAUUGGAGUCUGCAACUCGACUCCAUGAAGUCGGAAUCGCUAGUAAUCGUAGAUCAGAAUGCUACGGUGAAUACGUUCCCGG
RNAcentral lists this ribosomal RNA (578 nucleotides) under Enterobacter asburiae. RNAcentral's name for it is "bacterial SSU rRNA". It matches the Rfam family "Bacterial small subunit ribosomal RNA", at positions 798 to 1377 of the family's 1533-position model. Lineage: Bacteria; Pseudomonadati; Pseudomonadota; Gammaproteobacteria; Enterobacterales; Enterobacteriaceae. The record is from RNAcentral.